CGGCAACAAAAGCAGCCAUUAAUGGGCCACAAUUAUCAACCAUUUGUUCGUGGCUAACCCACAGGGGUUAUAUAUAGGAAGACAACAGUUCGAUUGUGGGAGACGUGAUUUGCUUCUUUUCCCAAAAGUGUUGCGUUAUACCUCGUAGCUAAAUAACCACGUUACAACACUUGUUAUUUUAAUUUCCUUGGCCUUGUCAGUUCGCCCGGAGAAUCGGCAGAUCAAAAUUGCUGUAAUCCCUGACCGAAUUGAAAACGUCCUUAGGUGAACUGCUGAAAAAGGAAGAAGCAAGCAUGCUACAAUGACAAAAAAUAGGACUAACUAGAGUUCUAGUUAUGAAACUCAGCUCACUCUAUUAGUAACAUAUUUCUGUAUUUGGGCUAUAGGGUGACCAGUUUUCCACCUCUAUAGGAAAAGUCCUAAAAAUAAUCACUGCAUGCAGGAAGAUGACAGAAAUUCAGCAAUUACUAAAAAAUGUACAUUCAUGGCAGCAAAGGUGUGGAAUCAAUUUACUACCAAAAUAUAUAGUAUAUCUCAGUGGUGGCGAACCUAUGGCACACAUGCCAGAGGCGGCACUCAGAGCCCUCUCUGUGGGCAUGCGCGCCAUGCCCCCAAGAUGGCAACCGUCCCUCUUCAACCAGCUGCCCACU
Molecule: long non-coding RNA, 650 nt
Organism: Crotalus tigris (Tiger rattlesnake)
Lineage: Eukaryota; Metazoa; Chordata; Lepidosauria; Squamata; Viperidae
Exons: 3
Source: RefSeq, a predicted model, not a curated record